This 47-nucleotide non-coding RNA is filed under the name Trichobilharzia regenti. The record is from RNAcentral. Lineage: Eukaryota; Metazoa; Platyhelminthes; Trematoda; Strigeidida; Schistosomatidae.
AUACAGCCGAAGAGUCUGAAAACUAAGACGAAACAGCUGUCCAGUAU